AUCCAGAUGACGAGUCCCUGAUAGGGCGAAACACGUUUAUUGGAU
Molecule: non-coding RNA, 45 nt
Filed under: Schistosoma margrebowiei
Lineage: Eukaryota; Metazoa; Platyhelminthes; Trematoda; Strigeidida; Schistosomatidae
Source: RNAcentral